CCCGAACCGGUUGACGUUGAAAAGUCUUCGGAUGAACUGUGGAUAGGGGUGAAAGGCCAAUCAAACUCCGUGAUAGCUGGUUCUCCCCGAAAUGCAUUUAGGUGCAGCGUUGCGUGGUUCUUGUUGGAGGUAGAGCACUGGAUGGUCUAGGGGGCUUAUCGGCUUACCGAAAUCAGCCAAACUCCGAAUGCUGGCAAGCGUAGCGUGGCAGUGAGACGGCGGGGGAUAAGCUUCGUCGUCGAGAGGGAAACAGCCCAGAUCAUCAGCUAAGGCCCCUAAGUGGUGACUCAGUGGGAAAGGAUGUGGAGUUGCGUAGACAACCAGGAGGUUGGCUUGGAAGCAGCCAUCCUUGAAAGAGUGCGUAAUAGCUCACUGGUCAAGUGAUUCCGCGCCGAUAAUGUAGCGGGGCUUAAGUUAUCCGCCGAAGCUGUGGCAACCUGUGUGGUUGGGUAGGGGAGCGUCGUGUCAGUGGUGAAGCUGCCGGGUGACUGUGUGGUGGAGUUGAUGCGAGUGAGAAUGCAGGCAUGAGUAACGAAUGAUAUGUGGAAAACAUAUCCGCCGGAUGACUAAGGGUUCCUGGGUUAAGCUAAUCUUCCCAGGGUGAGUCGGGACCUAAGGCGAGGCCGACAGGCGUAGUCGAUGGGUAACCAGUUGAUAUUCUGGUACCGGCUUGUCACCGUCCGUGUCGAGGUGUGUGAUGCUAAGCAUGUGAGCUUGUCUUGGGAGUGUUUUUGAUGCUUCUGGGGUGGGUGAGUGUGUGAACCGAUCAUGUAGUAGGCAAGCUGCGGAGGGACGCAGUGAGGUAGCUCAUCCCCGGUGAUGGUUGUCCGGGGCUAAGUGUGUGGACUGUCUGGUAGGUAAAUCCGCUGGGCGUGAAGGUUGAGGCAUGAUGGGGAGCCCACGGUUGUGGGUGAGUGAGUGAUCCUGUACUGUCGAGAAAAGCUUCGUGAGCGAGGUGGCGGGUCCGCCCGUACCCUAAACCGACACUGGUGGAUAGGUAGAGUAUACCGAGGCGAUCGAGUGAAUCGUGGUGAAGGAACUCGGCAAAAUGCCCCCGUAACUUUGGGAUAAGGGGGACCUGAGCUGUCGUGCACCCGUGCGGUGUGGUGGCGGUGAGGGGCGCAGAGUCCAGGGGGAAACGACUGUUUACCAAAAACACAGGUCCGUGCGAAGUCGUAAGACGAUGUAUACGGACUGACUCCUGCCCGGUGCUGGAAGGUUAAGAGGAGGUGUGCAAGCACCGAAUUGAAGCCCCAGUAAACGGCGGCCGUAACGAUAACGGUCCUAAG
Molecule: ribosomal RNA, 1289 nt
Filed under: Thalassiosira rotula
Lineage: Eukaryota; Bacillariophyta; Thalassiosirophyceae; Thalassiosirales; Thalassiosiraceae
Description: partial Bacterial large subunit ribosomal RNA
Rfam family: Bacterial large subunit ribosomal RNA
Source: RNAcentral